RNAcentral lists this ribosomal RNA (700 nucleotides) under uncultured bacterium. Its description in RNAcentral is "bacterial SSU rRNA". It matches the Rfam family "Bacterial small subunit ribosomal RNA", at positions 111 to 830 of the family's 1533-position model. The record is from RNAcentral.
GUACGCGUGGGUAACCUGCCCUGUACACACGGAUAACAUACCGAAAGGUAUGCUAAUACGGGAUGACAUAUGAAAGUCGCAUGGCUUUUGUAUCAAAGCUCCGGCGGUACAGGAUGGACCCGCGUCUGAUUAGCUAGUUGGUGAGGUAAUGGCUCACCAAGGCGACGAUCAGUAGCCGACCUGAGAGGGUGAUCGGCCACACUGGAACUGAGACACGGUCCAGACUCCUACGGGAGGCAGCAGUGGGGAAUAUUGCACAAUGGGCGAAAGCCUGAUGCAGCAACGCCGCGUGAGCGAUGAAGGCCUUCGGGUCGUAAAGCUCUGUCCUCAAGGAAGAUAAUGACGGUACUUGAGGAGGAAGCCCCGGCUAACUACGUGCCAGCAGCCGCGGUAAUACGUAGGGGGCUAGCGUUAUCCGGAAUUACUGGGCGUAAAGGGUGCGUAGGCGGUCUUUCAAGCCAGAAGUGAAAGGCUACGGCUCAACCGUAGUAAGCUUUUGGAACUGUAGGACUUGAGUGCAGGAGAGGAGAGUAGAAUUCCUAGUGUAGCGGUGAAAUGCGUAGAUAUUAGGAGGAAUACCAGUAGCGAAGGCGGCUCUCUGGACUGUAACUGACGCUGAGGCACGAAAGCAUGGGGAGCAAACAGGAUUAGAUACCCUGGUAGUCCAUGCCGUAAACGAUGAGUACUAGUGUCGGGGGUU